CACGUCACCCCCACAUCUCUGUGAGGUUCCGUACAUGUCAAGGGUAGGUAAGGUUUUUCGCGUUGUGUCGAAUUGAACCACAUCAUCCACCGCUUGUGCGGGCCCCCGUCAAUUCCUUUGAGUUUUAAUCUUGCGACCGUACUCCCCAGGCGGAUGACUUCUCGCGUUAGCUGCGUUACUAAAGGAUUUAACUCCUCCAACAACUAGUCAUCAUCGUUUAGGGCGUGGACUAC
Molecule: unclassified non-coding RNA, 233 nt
Filed under: uncultured Gammaproteobacteria bacterium
Lineage: Bacteria; Pseudomonadati; Pseudomonadota; Gammaproteobacteria
Description: contains 16S-23S intergenic spacer region
Source: RNAcentral